Molecule: long non-coding RNA, 1845 nt
Organism: Leptidea sinapis
Lineage: Eukaryota; Metazoa; Arthropoda; Insecta; Lepidoptera; Pieridae
Exons: 4
Source: RefSeq, a predicted model, not a curated record
CGAUGUUGGUAAAGUUGCCGUCGUCGUCGAGCCAUUCCGGAAAAUUACUGAACUCUACGAAAAAUUCCUGUACAUUGCUUCUUCGCAACAAGUUUGUUUGGUACAAAAUAUCGGAUUAUAGGAAGCAAUUUCAGCUUCAGUAUCCUAUGGGGUUUCAACAGGCGUUUGGUGGCCAAUCUUUCCAGAACGGUCUAGGUUUAAACGCAAAUUAUGGUUACCUGCCGUACUGGGACGGAGGAGACUGGAUAUUCUCGACAACACAGAAGACGGUAACCGCGGAAAACGAAGCGUGCGGCCAAGUGUGUCCCGACAUGUUCCUAGAGUACGGAAAGAUAUGUGGCCGAGGCAGGAACUACACAUACCUGACAUUCAACAGUUAUUGUGAUCUGUUAAGGGAAGACUGCUAUGGACGCGAAAAAUGGAUGAUAGCGUACCGCGGGGAGUGCCAACAGGAGAUGAAGACGUACCCGACUAAGUCCGGGCUGCUCAUCUCCCGCGCUAUGCACUACAUUGAAGAGUUCAAUAACGGCACCACAGAAAACUUUGACCUCUCAAAAUUUUGGACUAAUUGAUUGUCAAUAUCUUAGGCUGGGUUGUAUUACUAACUUUUUUUUAAUGAAAAAAAGGGGCGAGACUAGCAGGACGUACUGAUAGUAAUUGAUACGCCCUGCCCAUGACAAUGCAGUGCCGCUCAGGAUUCUUGAAAAACCCCAAAAAUUCUGAGCGGCACUAAAACUGGGCUCGUCAACUUAAGACAUAAGAUGUUCCGUCUCAUAAUUUCACUAGCUACGGCGCCCUUCAAACCGAAACAUAGUAUUGCUUACACAUUACUGCUUCACGGCAGAAAUAGUCGCCGUUGUCGUACCCAUAAUCUAGCCGGCAUUCUGCGCAAAGGAGCCUCCCACUGGUUUUGUAAUUUUUGAGAAGCUUAAAAUAUGUAUGUAUACUAAUAGAAUUCUAGAAGGUGUAGCACCUAUUCAUUCAUUUAUUAUGAGUCUUAUGUUAUGCGUUCUUAUGAAAUACGUUCUUUCGUAACAAGCUCACUUUUAACCAUCCCUUAAUUAUCAGCUAGCAAAUAAUGUACCUAUUAGGAUUAACCUUUUUUAUAACCCAGAAAUCUUGUGUCAAUUUUGACACAACUUUUUGGAUUACUUAGAUUUCUUAGUUUAGAUUAUUUAUUUAAUUAAUUUGAGAAGAAAACUAGUCGCAUAAUGAGGUUUGAUAUAGUUUAACAAAUAUGAAAAUGAAUAUAUGAGUUAAUGUUAGGGACCUUUAAUAAAAACAUACUAAUGGCCUUACAAAUAAACUUGGUAUAAAAUUAUACCUGAGAAUAAUCCAAGAAUAUGCAAAGUGUUCACAAAUAGACAUUUUCCGUAUAAUUGGCGUUUAUUUGCAAGGCUGCUUGACAUACGGAAAACUUCAGAAUUAUCAUUGUAUUGACAGUGUUGUCAACGAUAUAGUCACCAUUUUGCAUAUUCUUAGUUUAUUCUUAGGCAUAAUUUUAAUCCAAGUUUUUUUGUAAGGCCAUAAGGGAUACAAUAUAAUCUUGUAUAAAGUAUAAUAAUAUAGUUAACCUUAUACUUUUCCAGCAAGACAAGACGCCAGAUAAAUUGGAACUUUAUGUUAAGUAAUUUCUCAGAUUGCCAACCAAUAUCCGUCCGGAAUCCAGAUUUUACUACAAUCAAUAAUCUUUGAUGUGAACUUACUAAACAGAACAGAGAGUAUUACUGUGUUUGAAGUCUUUUAGUAUCUUUACAAGAUGUAAUUCUAUUUCUGUAGUAGAUAACAUGUCAAUAAUUAUUAGAAUCGACGCCUUCUUGUUAUAUUAUAAGGUUGUACUUAUGU